Long non-coding RNA from Stegodyphus dumicola, 558 nucleotides. The record is from RefSeq and is a predicted model, not a curated record. NCBI's taxonomy places the organism in Eukaryota, Metazoa, Arthropoda, Arachnida, Araneae, Eresidae.
AAGUAUAACAAAAUUUUGUUACCUGUAUUAUCAGAAAUUGCUGAAGAAUCCAUGUUGAAAGCUGUAAAAGAAACAGUUGCAGAUAACAGUGGAAAUGCUGACAUAAAAGUGGAAAUGCUGUGUUUAGAAGUCUGUCUGACAAAAAACUGCUGUCAAAGUGCUUACACGGACGAACUCAAAACCCCAAUGAAAGUUUUAAUAAUUGCAUCUGGAUACGCAUACCAAAAACUGUUUUUCAUUUUCGCUCGGGAGCUUUGCAUAGCUUGGAAAGUUUUCUAACGGGGGUUUAAUUUCAGCACCACUUGACUCGUUAUAAUGAUGGCGUGCCGCAGUUAAAAAUCCCCCCCAUCGAUUUUCAAACUCGAAGAUGAAGGAAACAUACCGAAAAAACAAAUAAAAAAAUGAACAAAUAUUUAAAAAAAAAAAAAAAAAAAAAACAGGAGUGCAAAUGUGUGCAUAUCGUGUAACUUAUACAUUUUAUCAGCAGAAAGUUCAACAACCGUUAGGAUUAAGCUGAUAAAAUAAAAAAAUAAAUGAAUAAACAAAUUUACAAUCUCA